GAUGAACGCUGGCGGCGUGCCUAAUACAUGCAAGUCGAGCGAACAGACGAGGAGCUUGCUCCUCUGAUGUUAGCGGCGGACGGGUGAGUAACACGUGGAUAACCUACCUAUAAGACUGGGAUAACUUCGGGAAACCGGAGCUAAUACCGGAUAACAUGUUGAACCGCAUGGUUCAACAGUGAAAGACGGUCUUGCUGUCACUUAUAGAUGGAUCCGCGCCGCAUUAGCUAGUUGGUAAGGUAACGGCUUACCAAGGCAACGAUGCGUAGCCGACCUGAGAGGGUGAUCGGCCACACUGGAACUGAGACACGGUCCAGACUCCUACGGGAGGCAGCAGUAGGGAAUCUUCCGCAAUGGGCGAAAGCCUGACGGAGCAACGCCGCGUGAGUGAAGAAGGUCUUCGGAUCGUAAAACUCUGUUAUUAGGGAAGAACAAAUGUGUAAGUAACUAUGCACGUCUUGACGGUACCUAAUCAGAAGGCCACGGCUAACUACGUG
Molecule: ribosomal RNA, 497 nt
Filed under: uncultured bacterium
Lineage: Bacteria
Description: partial 16S ribosomal RNA
Rfam family: Bacterial small subunit ribosomal RNA
Source: RNAcentral